GGAUUAGAUACCCUGGUAGUCCUAGCUGUAAACGAUGAACACUAGGCGUUGCUUGUAUCGACCCGAGCAGUGCCGUAGCCAACGCGUUAAGUGUUCCGCCUGGGGAGUACGCACGCAAGUGUGAAACUCAAAGGAAUUGACGGGGGCCCGCACAAGCGGUGGAGUAUGUGGUUUAAUUCGAUGCAACGCGAAGAACCUUACCAGGACUUGACAUCUCGAGAAGGAAGCUUAAUAGCUUCUGUGCCUUAGGGAACUCGAAGACAGGUGGUGCAUGGCUGUCGUCAGCUCGUGCCG
This 294-nucleotide ribosomal RNA is filed under the name uncultured bacterium. Its description in RNAcentral is "partial 16S ribosomal RNA". It matches the Rfam family "Bacterial small subunit ribosomal RNA", at positions 775 to 1067 of the family's 1533-position model. The record is from RNAcentral.